RNAcentral lists this ribosomal RNA (515 nucleotides) under uncultured Entrophosporaceae. RNAcentral describes it as "SSU rRNA". It matches the Rfam family "Eukaryotic small subunit ribosomal RNA", at positions 569 to 1078 of the family's 1831-position model. Lineage: Eukaryota; Fungi; Glomeromycota; Glomeromycetes; Entrophosporales; Entrophosporaceae. The record is from RNAcentral.
AGCAGCCGCGGUAAUUCCAGCCCCAAUAGCGUAUAUUAAAGUUGUUGCAGUUAAAAAGCUCGUAGUUGAAUUUCAGGAUUGGCGCAUCGGUCGUGCCUCACGGGGUAUGAACUGGUGCAGUCAAUUUCUCACCUUCUGGAGAACCGCGAUGUCCUUAAUUGGGUGCCGCGGGGAACCAGGACCUUUACUUUGAAAAAUUAGAGUGUUUAAAGCAGGCAUUUUUGCUUGAAUACAUUAGCAUGGAAUAAUAAAAUAGGACGGCAUGGUUCUAUUUUGUUGGUUUCUAGGACCACCGUAAUGAUUAAUAGGGAUAGUUGGGGGCAUUAGUAUUCAAUUGUCAGAGGUGAAAUUCUUGGAUUUAUUGAAGACUAACUACUGCGAAAGCAUUUGCCUAAGGAUGUUUUCAUUAAUCAAGAACGAAAGUUAGGGGAUCGAAGACGAUCAGAUACCGUCGUAGUCUUAACCAUAAACUAUGCCGACUAGGAAUCAGACGAUGUUAAUUUUUAAUGUACUCG